Molecule: non-coding RNA, 23 nt
Filed under: Arabidopsis thaliana (thale cress)
Lineage: Eukaryota; Viridiplantae; Streptophyta; Magnoliopsida; Brassicales; Brassicaceae
Source: RNAcentral
GUAUUAUUCUUGGUCUGUGUUGC